AGGGCACCACCAGGAGUGGAGCCUGCGGCUUAAUUUGACUCAACACGGGAAAUCUCACCUAGCCCGGACACUGUUAAGAUUGACAGGCUAAAAGCCCUUUCAUGAUUCAGCGGAUAGUGGUGCAUGGCCGUUCUUAGUUCGUGGAGUGAUUUGUCUGGUUAAUUCCGGUAACGAACGAGACUCAGUCUUGCUAACUAGUGACUGGCUGCCUUGUGCAGUGCAGUUGCUUCUUAGAGGAACUGGGGGCUUUGAAGCCUCACGAAAUUGAGCAAUAACAGGUCUGUGAUGCCCUUAGAUGUUUAGGGCUGCACGCGCGCUACAAUGAUCAGGUCAGCAUGUAGUACUGGGCUGGAAACGGCUUGGGAAUCAUGUGAAUCCUGAUCGUGACUGGGAUAGAGAAUUGUAAUUAUUUUUCUUGAACGAGGAAUUCCUAGUAAACGCAAGUCAUAAGCUUGCAUUGAUUACGUCCCUGCCCUUUGUACACACCGCCCGUCGCUAGUAGCGAUUGAUUGCUUAGCG
RNAcentral lists this ribosomal RNA (519 nucleotides) under uncultured eukaryote. Its description in RNAcentral is "SSU rRNA". It matches the Rfam family "Eukaryotic small subunit ribosomal RNA", at positions 1161 to 1702 of the family's 1831-position model. The record is from RNAcentral.